UGCCAGACUCCUACGGGAGGCAGCAGUGGGGGAUAUUGCACAAUGGGGGAAACCCUGAUGCAGCGACGCCGCGUGGGUGAAGGAGCGUUUCGGCGCGUAAAGCCCUAUCGGCAGGGAAGAAGGAGGACGGUACCUGACUAAGAAGCCCCGGCUAACUACGUGCCAGCAGCCGCGGUAAUACGUAGGGGGCAAGCGUUAUCCGGAUUUACUGGGUGUAAAGGGGGCGCAGACGGCGAUGCAAGCCAGGAGUGAAAGCCCGGGGCCCAACCCCGGGACUGCUCUUGGAACUGCGUGGCUAGAGUGCAGGAGGGGCAGGCGGAAUUCCUGGUGUAGCGGUGAAAUGCGUAGAUAUCAGGAGGAACACCGGUGGCGAAGGCGGCCUGCUGGACUGCAACUGACGUUGAGGCCCGAAAGCGUGGGGAGCAAACAGGAUUAGAUACCCCAGUACG
This 449-nucleotide ribosomal RNA is filed under the name uncultured bacterium. Its description in RNAcentral is "partial 16S ribosomal RNA". It matches the Rfam family "Bacterial small subunit ribosomal RNA", at positions 329 to 793 of the family's 1533-position model. The record is from RNAcentral.